RNAcentral lists this ribosomal RNA (600 nucleotides) under uncultured bacterium. RNAcentral's name for it is "bacterial SSU rRNA". It matches the Rfam family "Bacterial small subunit ribosomal RNA", at positions 338 to 1239 of the family's 1533-position model. The record is from RNAcentral.
CCUACGGGAGGCAGCAGUGGGGAAUAUUGCACAAUGGGCGCAAGCCUGAUGCAGCGACGCCGCGUGAGGGAUGACGGCCUUCGGGUUGUAAACCUCUUUCAGUAGGGAAGAAGCGAAAGUGACGGUACCUGCAGAAGAAGCGCCGGCUAACUACGUGCCAGCAGCCGCGGUAAUACGUAGGGCGCAAGCGUUAUCCGGAAUUAUUGGGCGUAAAGAGCUCGUAGGCGGUUUGUCGCGUCUGCUGUGAAAGACCGGGGCUCAACUCCGGUUCUGCAGUGGGUACGGGCAGACUAGAGUGCAGUAGGGGAGACUGGAAUUCCUGGUGUAGCGGUGAAAUGCGCAGAUAUCAGGAGGAACACCGAUGGCGAAGGCAGGUCUCUGGGCUGUAACUGACGCUGAGGAGCGAAAGCAUGGGGAGCGAACAGGAUUAGAUACCCUGGUAGUCCAUGCCGUAAACGUUGGGCACUAGGUGUGGGGGACAUUCCACGUUUUCCGCGCCGUAGCUAACGCACUAGUGCCCGCCUGGGGAGUACGGCCGCAAGGCUAAACGUUAAUUGAAUUGACGGCUUGNGCGNGCGACGGCGACGACGAGGGAGGAGG